CCUACGGGUGUCAGCAGUAGGGAAUAUUGCUCAAUGGGGGAAACCCUGAAGCAGCAACGCCGCGUGGAGGAUGACGGUUUUCUGAUUGUAAACCUCUGUUGUUAGAGACGAAAAUGACGGUAUCUAACGAAUAAGCACCGGCUAACUCCGUUCCGGCAGCCGCGGUAAUACGGAGGGUGCCAGCGUUACUCGGAAUCACUGGGCGUAAAGAGCGCGUAGGCGGGAUAGCAAGUCGGAUGUAAAAUGCUAUGGCUUAACCGUAGAACUGCAUUUGAAACUGUUAUUCUAGAGUGCGGGAGAGGUAGGUGGAAUUCUUGGUGUAGCGGUGAAAUCCGUAGAUAUCAAGAGGAAUACCCAUGGCGAAGGCGGUUGGCGGGAACGUAACUGACGUUGAUGCGCGAAAGCGUGGGGAGCAAACAGGAUUAGAUACCCGGGUAGUC
This 440-nucleotide ribosomal RNA is filed under the name uncultured bacterium. RNAcentral describes it as "partial 16S ribosomal RNA". It matches the Rfam family "Bacterial small subunit ribosomal RNA", at positions 338 to 795 of the family's 1533-position model. The record is from RNAcentral.